UCAUGGCGGGACUUCGUCAAGAAUUCAGA
This 29-nucleotide small RNA is filed under the name Bombyx mori (domestic silkworm). RNAcentral describes it as "ovarian small RNA-26254". The record is from RNAcentral. Lineage: Eukaryota; Metazoa; Arthropoda; Insecta; Lepidoptera; Bombycidae.